RNAcentral lists this ribosomal RNA (1287 nucleotides) under Pyganodon grandis (giant floater mussel). Its description in RNAcentral is "16S ribosomal RNA". The stretch from base 843 to 1190 matches the Rfam family "Archaeal large subunit ribosomal RNA", at positions 2153 to 2718 of the family's 2987-position model. The record is from RNAcentral. Lineage: Eukaryota; Metazoa; Mollusca; Bivalvia; Unionida; Unionidae.
UAUCCACUAUUAACUUCCUACAACUAGUAUAAGGAAAGACGCAACUAGACAAGUAUUUUCAAAAAAAUUCCUACCAUGCAUACCCGCAAGGGCUUAAGUAAAUAAACCUUAGAAUUGAUCAAACCAUUUACCUUUUGCAUAAUGUAACUGCAAGAAAAAGCAACUCAUAAUGUCUCCCGAAAAGUGGGGAGCUACUAUAGCUAUAACUUCUAGUGUGACACUACUAGAACACAGCCUACAGUAGCAGCAAAAUACCUAUCGAACCACUUGAUAGCUGGUUUUUCCUUAAAGACAUGUAAGUGUCUUCUUUCAGAAACCAAUAAAACUAUUUCUGUAAGAAAAACUCUAAUGGGGACAAGCUCUCUAGAGUUUUUAGAAAAAACAAUACACAAAUUUUCAGAAAGGCCUAAAAACAGCCAAAUUAUCCGUUACAGGAAACGACAUCCCUUUAUUAAUAUCUAAUAAAAAUUCUAUUACUCAAGGAACCUAAUAGGGUAACACACCCCUUUUAUGAACUGGCAAUUAUUAGUAUCUAAAAAGCAAGCAUACAUAACUUUUUUUAAAAAAAUUGUCUCUAAAUCAUUGCUACAUAAUAUCAUUAGUAAUGAACUCGGCAAAACUUUCCUCUGCCUGUUUAUCAAAAACAUCGUCUUUUGUUACUAUAAAGAUAAAAGAUAAUGCCUGCCCCAUGAUCUCUAUUAAAUGGCCGCGUUAGCGUGAGCGUGCUAAGGUAGCGUAAUAAACAGCUCCCUAAUUAGGAGCCAGUGAAUGGCUAAACAGAGGAAGACUUUAUUACUAAUGAAAAGAAAACUUUUCAUUUAAGUGAAAAGACUUAAAUCAAAGAAAAAGACAAAAAGACCCCGCGGAACUCCCUUAAGACUUUACUAUAUAAACAAGGAUUAUACUUAAAAUCAACUGGUUGGUUGGGGCAACCUUGGAGCAACACAAACCUCCAUUUACUACAAAAUCUUAUUCAAAACUCAAUGUGGACCAUAUUUGCAGUUACCCCGGGGAUAACAGCGUUAUCCAGCUUAAGAGUACGAAUUGAAAGCUGGGUUUGCGACCUCGAUGUUGGCUUAGGGAAAGCAACUUGGUGCAGCCGCUAAGUUCAAUGCCAGUCUGUUCGACUGCUAACCCCCUACACGAUCUGAGUUAAGACCGGCGAGAGCUAGGUUGGAUUCUAUCUUUUCUUCAAAAACAAUUUCUUUAUUGUACGAAAGGACCCAAAGAAACACACUAAGAGUGCUUACUUGAAACAAAAACCAUUUAUACAAACUUACACUCACU